Non-coding RNA from Chelonoidis abingdonii (Abingdon island giant tortoise), 470 nucleotides. The record is from RefSeq and is a predicted model, not a curated record. Lineage: Eukaryota; Metazoa; Chordata; Testudines; Testudinidae.
ACAGAAUGUUUAAUUGAUGCUCAGUUCCCCCAGGAGUAACACAAACUUAAUGUGUCGUUACUGAAGUGAUAAUAGGGAUGGUAUAGUAGAACUAUAGCAUAUUCUUCCUGUCAUGCUAGGACAAAAGCUGUUAUGUUGGGAAUGAACUGUUACAAGUAAGCACCUGGAACACUCAAAAAGCCUAUUUAACCUGCUCAUUUUUAAACUGUGUUAUAAAAGAGAGAGAGCUGAUCAUUUUGUUCUAUCAAUUUUUAUUAAAAAAGACAAAUAUUUCCAAUCAAGAGUAAUUUAAUGUUGUUUCCCAAGUGGUGUUGCACCCUUCUUUGGUUCUGAGAAAAGAUGUCUGUUUAAAUGGAAGACAAACGUAUAUGCCCCAGUUUCAUCCAACUUCACUGCACCAGCAGUUUACCUAAACCCAAAAGGAAAUUUUUUUGUGGAGGCCUCUUAUUAAAAGUUAGUAGCAAAUCACU